Molecule: microRNA, 24 nt
Filed under: Triops cancriformis
Lineage: Eukaryota; Metazoa; Arthropoda; Branchiopoda; Notostraca; Triopsidae
Description: tcf-miR-10314
Source: miRBase by way of RNAcentral
GCAAGAAACAAGUCGGAAAUCGGA